RNAcentral lists this ribosomal RNA (1032 nucleotides) under Rana longicrus. RNAcentral's name for it is "partial large subunit ribosomal RNA". It matches the Rfam family "Bacterial large subunit ribosomal RNA", at positions 928 to 2607 of the family's 2925-position model. Lineage: Eukaryota; Metazoa; Chordata; Amphibia; Anura; Ranidae. The record is from RNAcentral.
AGCUCUACCUUAGUUUUUUUGUUAAACUGAACAAGACCUCAGACUUAAGAGCUAUUCGAAUAAGGCACAGCUUAUUUGAAACAGGACACAACCUACGACAUAGGGUAACCAAGAGUGACUUAAAUAAAGUGGGCCUAAAAGCAGCCAUCUUUAAAAAAGCGUUAAAGCUUAACUACCCCUCACUCACAAUACCUAAAGCCCUCACUAACCCCUCAUCACUAUUGAACAGCUUUAUACUCAUAUAAAAGCUAUUAUGCUAGAACUAGUAACAAGAAACUGCCUUUCUCCUAAAUAUAAGUAUAUACCAAAAUAAACUCUGUUGGUUAUUAACGUAAAUGCUAAACUAUAGUAACACCCACUAGAAAACCCUAUAACUCCUAACGUUAACCUUACACCAGAACAUUCCAGGAAAGAUUAAAAGAAAAAGAAGGAACUCGGCAAAUCAUAGCCUCGCCUGUUUACCAAAAACAUCGCCUCUUGCAAAACAUAAGAGGUCCAGCCUGCCCAGUGACAAAGUUCAACGGCCGCGGUACCCUAACCGUGCGAAGGUAGCAUAAUCACUUGUUCUUUAAAUGAGGACUCGUAUCAACGGCACUACGAGGGCUAUACUGUCUCCUUUUUCCAAUCAGUGAAACUGAUCUCCCCGUGAAGAAGCGGGGAUCAAAAUAUAAGACGAGAAGACCCCAUGGAGCUUUAAACUCUCUGUACACUUCUGUGUUCCUACAUCAUUAGACAUAAGAAAUCUGCACACUAGUUUUAGGUUGGGGGGACCACGGAGUACAAUUUAACCUCCAUAACAAAUGGGCUAAUUACCCUUAUCCACGAGACACACCUCUAAGAAUUACUAAACUAAUGCUUAUGACCCGAUAUUCGAUCAAUGAACCAAGUUACCCUGGGGAUAACAGCGCAAUCUACUUCAAGAGCUCAUAUCGACAAGUAGGUUUACGACCUCGAUGUUGGAUCAGGGUAUCCCGGUGGUGCAGCCGCUACUAAUGGUUCGUUUGUUCAACGAUUAAAACCCUACGUGAUCUG